RNAcentral lists this ribosomal RNA (253 nucleotides) under uncultured bacterium. RNAcentral's name for it is "partial 16S ribosomal RNA". It matches the Rfam family "Bacterial small subunit ribosomal RNA", at positions 524 to 776 of the family's 1533-position model. The record is from RNAcentral.
UACGUAGGGUGCGAGCGUUAAUCGGAAUUACUGGGCGUAAAGUGUGCGCAGGCGGCCGCGCAAGUCGAGUGUGAAAGCCCCGGGCUUAACUUGGGAAUUGCGCUCGAAACUACGUGGCUGGAGUGUGGCAGAGGAAGGUGGAAUUCCAGGUGUAGCGGUGAAAUGCGUAGAGAUCUGGAGGAACACCGAUGGCGAAGGCAGCCUUCUGGGCCAACACUGACUCUCAUGCACGAAAGCGUGGGGAGCAAACAGG